UCGUACAACUGAGGUGCGAAGGCUGUCGCUGACCCUCAAAGGUCGUGCACGCCUGAGUGCUCUCACACAAUCCAUCUCACCUUUGUGCAUCACCGCGUGGGUCCCCCUUUGCGGGGAGGGCUUGCGUUUUCACAUAAAACUCGAUACGGUGUAGAAUGUUUCUUUUGCGGUCACACGCAAUCAAUA
This 186-nucleotide unclassified non-coding RNA is filed under the name uncultured Russula. RNAcentral's name for it is "sequence contains ITS1". The record is from RNAcentral. Lineage: Eukaryota; Fungi; Basidiomycota; Agaricomycetes; Russulales; Russulaceae.